UUAAAAGCACUUUGAAAAUGUUGUAGAGCCUAACAAGGUCUAAAUCCAUUAUUAGGUUUAUAAAUAUAUGAUUCUUAGAUUUCUUAAGUACUGAUGUAAUAAAUGUGGACCUAAAACAAUGCUUGAUAUUGCCCCAAAAAUAGUUCUUGAUUCUUUUCGGCCCUUCGAAAAAUACUUAGAUCUGCCUUGGCUGUGUGAAUCAUGUUUUCUGUUCUGCUUUGGGAUAUAUGAUAACAAUCUAGUCUCAUUUUUAUUAUGGCUAGUGGUUCUGCUCUUGAUAAAAGUAUAAAACAGCAUCAGGUAUAAAGUAUGGGGAGAAGUGAACAUUGUAAUUAAUAAAGAGAAACCCAUGAGUAAGUGAAUUCAAUAUCAUUACACAAAAAACAGAAGACAUGAUCAUUUUGAUGGUCUAUACUAAUCAAUUGUACAAAAUUUGACCACUAAUUGAUGUUAGUCAUCUAGAGUGUGAGAUUUAUAGCCCAUUCAUUUUAUGUUGGAAAACAUCUUCGGUGCAAGGAAUUGUGAGACCGCCCAUUGGAUGAUCAUAUCCAAACUCUUGCUCGGCUUGACUCAGUAAGUCUUGGAAUGAAGGUUUGUUCAAGUAUGAUAUUGGGAUGACAAACCGCUUAUGCUUCUCUCCAACAUACACUGCAAGAUACCCCUUUGGCACUUCCACACAUUUUGAAGAUGCUUGGAUGGCACUGAAUGAUGCCCUUCGAAUAGCAGGUAAACGGAAACCCAUAUUUUUUGUUUGUUUGAAGGAAGAACAAAGCAAAGUUUUCAAAUCUGAGAAGAAAGUGUGUAAGUUUUAAUGCUUCAAGCUGCAAAUGUCUUAUGUUGGUUGUGAAGGCAAGAGGGUGUUUAUUUAUAGAUUUUAAGGGUCUUUAGAAACUCAAUUCAUAGAGAAAUAAUUGAUGAAGGGGUUAAAGGCUAGGGGCAUGCAUAAGAGAGUUCACAUGGUCUUGUCUAUAGAGGACUCUAUCAAGUACUAAUAACUUGUCUAAGAGUGCAUACCCCACCUUCUCAAAGGAAUGGCCAAAACUGCAACAACUAGCAAUAAAAUGAGUCAUACUCAAAUGAAACCUAAUGUUUGUUCAUGGUUCAUGCAUUCUUUAAUUUCUACUCUGUAUUUUUGUAAACAUACUUUAGACAUCUCACAUGUUUCUUCACAUUAUUAAUGCAUAUACAUCUACCAAUUAAUAUCAAGGUGACAGUAUCAAAUUUGUAAGCCUUGACCAGGACCUGAUUGAUAGCUCUCAAACAUAGUGUUUGGAGGCAAUAAGAGAAGCCAAAAUUGAAUACAUGAUAAUGAGCUACCAUAAACAUAUUUUUUAGGUGUACCAGAUUUCAAGCAACGCCCCGUGAAAUAUGACCAAUAUGAACCACAUCAUUUUGAUCCUGCUUGCAUAGUCUAUUUUAACUACUACACCAUUUUGAUCAUUCAGAUAUAAGGAAGUUUUCUGAGACAACACCAUGUGACCUCUUAUAUGCCCUUGUCUCCCAAUAGGUCCCAUGACUCCACCUAUAUAUAUUCAUGGCUUCAACCAGUUAAGAACAACACAUCCUAAAGCACUCAAAUUCAGAAACUUGUAUCUCACUUACUAGUCUUUUCUCAACAAACACAACAAUGGGUUUUCAUUUCCCACUUAUCAGAAGGGCAUCAUUUACUUCAAACCAAGCAUCUACAAAAGUUGCGAAUGUGCCGAAGGGCUACAUAGCAGUAUAUGUUGGAGAGAACACAAAGCGGUUCGUGAUCCCAAUAUCAUACUUGAACCAACGUUCAUUUCAAGAUUUACUUGGUCAAGCUGAGGAAGAAUUCGGGUAUGAACAUCAAAUGGGUGGCCUAACAAUUCCUUGUAGAGAAGAUGAGUUUUUGGAUAUUACUUCACAACUUCAAUAACUGCUAAUCCCAUGCAACAUAAAGCCUGAUUAGACUUACAUUACUUAGACACAAUUUUUGUAACAGAUUAAUAACUUGAAAAUAUUGUUCUUUGUCAUUAUCCUACCUACAUGGGUACAAUAUAUGAAAGAGAAAUUUAUCAGCAAUACCAUAUAUUAUUUUUUCGUUUUCCAUCAAAUCUCAGUCUAAAUUUUCUUUGCAUGGUCCUAAAAGAAGGAAAACAAAAAAUAAUCACUAAAUUAGUUUCAAUGAUCAUACUAUAUUGCAAAACCAGGAAAAAAGAUGCAAGUAACUAUUAUGAUUAAUAACGAUGAUUAUAUAUGACAAAAAGAUUAUGAUAGAACAACUUGGUAAAUGCUGCACCCAAAAAAAAACUUAGUGAUUUCUAUACUAAAAAUAAACGUGGUUAUUUGAUAAGUAUUUAGAGGAAGGUUUUUACCGUGCCUAAUUACCAUGAUCCACUUGACUGAAAUAUGGCAGAUAUAUGUUACUUGAGAUCAAAUUUCAUUCAUAAAUGAAAGAAAAACAUAACCCAAAUAAAACUAUGAAAUUGAAAUAGAUAAUUAUGUGAUCUACUUAUUUACCCAUACUUUUAUAAAUGUGUUAAUGUGGUUAUAGGCCAUUCACUAAUAUGAGAAGUUCCCAUUUUCUUUUGGCGUGGGCUUUGAUUAUUUCAAGAAUUAAGAUAACACAAAUGUUGCUGUUUGCUUAUUACUAAUAUGAUAAUUGUUUGAGGAUUUAUACUGAAUUUAAAUUGUUGUCUCCUAUACAAAUUGGCUUGUAAAUUUUAAGGAUGGAUAAGUGAAAUUGUAUUUGAUAUUUUGUACAAUAAUUUUUCUUUGGUGAAAGCCUUCUUGAAUUUUCUGUUGCUCCUUAAAUCUUGGAAGAACAGAUGUUACAUACCAGUUACCAUGAAGAGUGAAGAGUUAUAUCUGUUUGACUUCAAGACUAGGUACUAGGUAGCAUAUACAUGUUUUUGGUCAAUAAGUUCCAUAGCAAUCAAUCAGUGAAGUAAAACUCACCACUACCAUAUGCAUUGUUCUGGACCUAUAAACAAAUAACAUGCUUAAUUCGAGUUAAGUGAUCACAUGAAUUCGACUGUAUCUAUGGCAGAAAAUAUUAUUGCACCAACUUUGCUGUAAGGCUAAUUGCUUCUCAUAUAUGGUAAUUGGAGUGAAUAACUUGUUUCUCAUAGGGAAAGACAAAAUAAAAAUGAAAAGUUACACAAUGUUAAACUAUCUCUAUUGUACAAAAUUGAGUUGAUCAUUGUAUAUAUACAAGUUAAUCUUCUACUUUAAGAUCUAUGCAAGUGGGAGGUGAUAUCUAGGAAGAUAUCUUCGCUACAAGGGAUUGUAAGGCCACCCAUUGGAUGAUCAUAUCCGAAUUCUUCCUCGGCUUGAUUAAGUAAAACUUGAAAUAAAGGUUGGUUCAAGUAUGAUAUUGGGAUCACAAACCGCUUCACUUUCUCCCCGAUGUACACUGCUAUGUAGCCCUUUGGAACAUCAACAACUUUUGAAGAUGCUUGGUUUGCAGUAUAUGAAGUCCUUCUAAUGUUUGCUAAACGAAAACCCAUUGUAGUGUUUGUUGAGAAGAAACUUCUAAAUGAGAUAGAUGUUUUGGAAUUUUGAAUGCUUCAGAAUGUGAGUGAUUUGUGUUGGUCCUAAAU
This 3566-nucleotide long non-coding RNA is filed under the name Lupinus angustifolius (narrow-leaved blue lupine). Its description in RNAcentral is "long non-coding RNA (LANG_LNC002052)". The record is from RNAcentral. Lineage: Eukaryota; Viridiplantae; Streptophyta; Magnoliopsida; Fabales; Fabaceae.